RNAcentral lists this ribosomal RNA (482 nucleotides) under uncultured bacterium. RNAcentral describes it as "bacterial SSU rRNA". It matches the Rfam family "Bacterial small subunit ribosomal RNA", at positions 28 to 507 of the family's 1533-position model. The record is from RNAcentral.
GAUGAACGCUAGCUACAGGCUUAACACAUGCAAGUCGAGGGUCUUUGGAGCUUGCUUUAAAAGACGACCGGCGCACGGGGUGAGUAACGCGUAUCCAACCUGCCCUUCAUAUUGGGAUAGCCUCUCGAAAGGGAGAUUAAUACCGAAUAACAUAGUUUAGUUGCCUGACCAGACUAUGAAAGCUCCGGCGAUGAAGGAUGGGGAUGCGUUCCAUUAGGUAGUAGGCGGGGUAACGGCCCACCUAGCCAACGAUGGAUAGGGGUUCUGAGAGGAAGGUCCCCCACACUGGUACUGAGACACGGACCAGACUCCUACGGGAGGCAGCAGUGAGGAAUAUUGGUCAAUGGGCGGGAGCCUGAACCAGCCAAGUCGCGUGAGGGAAGACGGCCCUACGGGUUGUAAACCUCUUUAGUCGGGGAGCAAAAAGGAUCACGCGUGGUCCAUUGAGCGUACCCGAAGAAUAAGCAUCGGCUAACUCCGUG